This 518-nucleotide ribosomal RNA is filed under the name uncultured bacterium. Its description in RNAcentral is "bacterial SSU rRNA". It matches the Rfam family "Bacterial small subunit ribosomal RNA", at positions 29 to 518 of the family's 1533-position model. The record is from RNAcentral.
ACGAACGCUGGCGGCGUGCCUAAUACAUGCAAGUCGAACGGUCUUUCUAUGGAAGCUUGCUUCCACUGAGAAGAUAGUGGCGAACGGGUGAGUAACACGUGGGUAACCUGCCCAUAAGAGGGGGGAUAACAUCCGGAAACGGGUGCUAAUACCGCAUAGUUUUCUUGAUCGCAUGAUUGAGAAAGGAAAGACGGCCUUUGUGCUGUCGCUUAUGGAUGGACCCGCGGCGUAUUAGUUAGUUGGUGAGGUAAUGGCUCACCAAGACGAUGAUACGUAGCCGACCUGAGAGGGUGAUCGGCCACAUUGGGACUGAGACACGGCCCAAACUCCUACGGGAGGCAGCAGUAGGGAAUCUUCCGCAAUGGACGAAAGUCUGACGGAGCAACGCCGCGUGAGUGAAGAAGGUUUUUUCGGAUCGUAAAACUCUGUUGUCAGAGAAGAACAAGUUGGAGAGUAACUGCUCCAGCCUUGACGGUAUCUGACCAGAAAGCCACGGCUAACUACGUGCCAGCCGCAGC